UACGAAGGGGGCUAGCGUUGCUCGGAAUCACUGGGCGUAAAGCGCACGUAGGCGGGUCCUUAAGUCCGGGGUGAAAUCCCGGAGCUCAACUCCGGAACUGCCUUUGAUACUGGGGAUCUUGAGUCCGGAAGAGGUGAGUGGAACUCCGAGUGUAGAGGUGAAAUUCGUAGAUAUUCGGAAGAACACCAGUGGCGAAGGCGGCUCACUGGUCCGGUACUGACGCUGAGGUGCGAAAGCGUGGGGAGCAAACAGG
RNAcentral lists this ribosomal RNA (253 nucleotides) under uncultured bacterium. Its description in RNAcentral is "partial 16S ribosomal RNA". It matches the Rfam family "Bacterial small subunit ribosomal RNA", at positions 524 to 776 of the family's 1533-position model. The record is from RNAcentral.